Molecule: small RNA, 709 nt
Filed under: Pan troglodytes (chimpanzee)
Lineage: Eukaryota; Metazoa; Chordata; Mammalia; Primates; Hominidae
Description: retained intron
Source: RNAcentral
CGCUCAGCUCCUGUACCUGUACACAAAGAGCAUUUCAGGAUAGGCUUGCUUCAGUACUUUGCUCAGCUGUGUUCUCUCUUGUCUCUGCAGUUCUGAAUGACAUCAUCUCCACCAUGUUCAAUAGAAAGUUUAUGGAGGAAUUAUUCAAGCCUCAAGAGCUCUACUCCAAGAAGGCCCUGAGGACUGUCUAUGAGCGCCUGGCUCAUGCCUCCAUUAUGAAACUGAACCAGGCCAGCAUGGAUAAGCUCUAUGACCUGAUGACCAUGGCUUUCAAAUAUCAAGUAUUGCUGUGUCCCCGACCCAAGGAUGUGCUGCUGGUCACUUUCAAUCACUUGGAUACCAUCAGGGGAUUCAUCCGAGACUCCCCAACCAUCCUGCAGCAAGUGGAUGAGACUUUCCGGCAGCUGACAGAAAUAUAUGGUGGUCUCUCUGCAGGGGAGUUCCAGCUGAUCCGGCAGACACUCCUCAUCUUCUUCCAAGACCUGCACAUCCGAGUAUCCAUGUUUCUAAAGGACAAAGUUCAGAAUAAUAACGGUCGCUUUGUGUUGCCGGUGUCCGGGCCUGUUCCUUGGGGAACUGAAGUUCCAGGACUCAUCAGAAUGUUCAACAACAAAGGUGAAGAAGUGAAGAGGAUAGAAUUCAAGCAUGGUGGAAACUAUGUCCCUGCACCCAAAGAAGGUUCUUUUGAACUUUAUGGAGACCGAGUCCU